Molecule: small RNA, 447 nt
Filed under: Vigna angularis var. angularis
Lineage: Eukaryota; Viridiplantae; Streptophyta; Magnoliopsida; Fabales; Fabaceae
Description: Non-protein coding transcript
Source: RNAcentral
GCUUCUCUCUCUAAAAAUUUCAAGCCCUAACUCUCUCUGCCUUCUCUCUAAAUUUCCAGCUCUUUCAACCUUUCAAUCUUGAGUUGGAGGGUGCUCAGACGUUCAUCUCACCGAAGGCUUCCAUUUGAAUCCAUCGCAUUUUCGAUUGGACCGGGUUUGGUUGAGUUCUCAUUUGGUGAAACACCGUAAAGGAGCGUUCCUGUGAGCUUGGUAGUUCGACUCUGAGAUGUUGUUGAGGAAAUACCUCUGGAGCAAGAGCUGGAGGAGAAUGAUGCUGCUGCACAGUCUACUUAGGAUUUAGAUAUUUAAACCUUUGGAUAUUAAAUACUCUAAACUGUCUAAGUAUAAAACUCUGUAUUAUAUUUUGGAUGACUGUAAUUCCGUAUUUAAUUGCAAGUCAUACUCUAACUGUUCCCUUUGUUGGGAAUGUUGACUCCUAAAUUAUAU